RNAcentral lists this ribosomal RNA (253 nucleotides) under uncultured bacterium. RNAcentral describes it as "partial 16S ribosomal RNA". It matches the Rfam family "Bacterial small subunit ribosomal RNA", at positions 524 to 776 of the family's 1533-position model. The record is from RNAcentral.
UACAGAGGUGGCAAGCGUUGUUCGGAAUUACUGGGCGUAAAGAGCGCGCAGGCGGUCGUUCAAGUCGAGUGUGAAAGCCCCCGGCUCAACUGGGGAGGGUCACUCGAUACUGAUCGACUUGAAGGCAGGAGAGGGAAGCGGAAUUCCCGGUGUAGUGGUGAAAUGCGUAGAUAUCGGGAGGAACACCAGUGGCGAAGGCGGCUUCCUGGCCUGUUCUUGACGCUGAGGCGCGAAAGCUAGGGGAGCAAACGGG